UACGGAGGUGGCAAGCGUUGUUCGGAAUUACUGGGCGUAAAGGGCGCGUAGGCGGCAUGGCAAGUCAGAUGUGAAAGCCCCGGGCUUAACCCGGGAAUUGCAUCUGAAACUGCUUUGCUUGAGUCCUGGAGGGGAUAGUGGAAUUCCCAGUGUAGCGGUGAAAUGCGUAGAUAUUGGGAGGAACACCUGCGGCGAAGGCGGCUAUCUGGACAGUGACUGACGCUGAGGCGCGAAAGCUAGGGGAGCGAACGGG
RNAcentral lists this ribosomal RNA (253 nucleotides) under uncultured bacterium. RNAcentral describes it as "partial 16S ribosomal RNA". It matches the Rfam family "Bacterial small subunit ribosomal RNA", at positions 524 to 776 of the family's 1533-position model. The record is from RNAcentral.